This 484-nucleotide ribosomal RNA is filed under the name uncultured bacterium. RNAcentral describes it as "partial 16S ribosomal RNA". It matches the Rfam family "Bacterial small subunit ribosomal RNA", at positions 28 to 507 of the family's 1533-position model. The record is from RNAcentral.
AUUGAACGCUGGCGGCAUGCUUUACACAUGCAAGUCGAACGGCAGCGCGGGCCUCGGCCUGGCGGCGAGUGGCGAACGGGUGAGUAAUGCAUCGGAACGUGCCCAGUAGUGGGGGAUAGCCCGGCGAAAGCCGGAUUAAUACCGCAUACGACCUGAGGGUGAAAGCGGGGGACCGAAAGGCCUCGCGCUAUUGGAGCGGCCGAUGUCGGAUUAGCUAGUUGGUGGGGUAAAGGCUUACCAAGGCGACGAUCCGUAGCUGGUCUGAGAGGACGACCAGCCACACUGGGACUGAGACACGGCCCAGACUCCUACGGGAGGCAGCAGUGGGGAAUUUUGGACAAUGGGGGCAACCCUGAUCCAGCCAUGCCGCGUGCGGGAAGAAGGCCUUUGGGUUGUAAACCGCUUUUGUUCGGGAAGAAAUCCUCUGGGCUAAUACCCCGGGGGGAUGACGGUACCGGAAGAAUAAGCACCGGCUAACUACGUG